ACAGCUCCGUGUCUCUCCUGUGCCGAGGCCCCAGCGCUGGAGGCAGCACUGCAGGGGGGUCUCCCCCGAGCGCAGCAGAGGGGCAGAAUCCCCCCCUUGCCCUGCUGCCCACGCUUCUUUCUACCACCUACUUUGUCAGGCAGCGCUUUGCACACUUGGGAUGCCUUUUUGGAAAUUAUUCUGGUAGUCUGAGUUUGGCGUGUGUGUCCAGGAGGAAAGUUUUCACAGGAGGGAUACGCGUGGCAGCAGGAGAGGCUCCUGCGUGGAGGUGGAUGGUCAAGUGUCCAGGGGAAGAGGCAGAUCCAGGGUAAUGGUUUCAGGGUUGAAAGGUGGAGGCUGGGAUCGCUGCGUGGAGGGGGCGGUGAAAAAGGCUUUUCAGCCUUUUGGCAAGUGGAUAAUUCAAAAAGUACAAGAGAGAGAGGAAAUUUGCUUCCUGGUGUCUCUUUCCUGACAUGAAAUAAAUUGUUGAGACGCCCCAGCAACAUUUCCGCAGGUCGUUUUCUGUUUCAGCCAUUUCCAUUUGGCUUGUAACACCUUGAUGGAAUGAAAUCCAAACUUUUUUGUUAAAACCUUUCUAGCAGGAAUACGGGUUGUUUCAGAGCUAAGCUUUUUUUGGGGCAGAGAACUUCUUGCCUUUUGUGUACUGCGCUUCGUCUCAUCAGCUGCCCGUUUUUUGGUGGUGUUUGGAGCAUCUCGGCUACCGUGGCCAUUUCCUACGUGGUCGUGGCGUCCUGAAGCCUGUGCUAACCAGGGGAUUCGAUGUGGGGUAGGAACAGCUUUGAGUAAGCGCGGUGCUGGUGCGCUAGACCGAGAGCUCCGCUUGGCCUGAACCUCUUUUCCCUAAAAACUUUGCUGCUGGCGGGAAGAGGAUUCUCUCCGUUCCUUAUUUAAACAGUUGUUUCAGGGAGAAAAGAGAAAUCUGGAUUGCAGUGGGGUGAGCGCAGGGCUCUGGUUUCUACAGUUUUCUCUAGGUAGAAGGAAAAAUUAAAUAAAUAAAUAGAAAAAAAAAAACUGUGCUUUGCUGGGAAAAAAAGCUUUUCUUCCACAGAUCCUUAAGGGACACUUGCGCAACAUCAAAUACGCGAAGUACCCUGGCUGCGCGGCCAGCAGUUGGCAAUGAUGCCGUUUCACAACAGGGAGGGCUUUGGCAAUGCUGAAUUAAAAAGCUGCUGCUCUUCUCCUCCGCCUCUUUUUUUUUUGUUUUUCCCUCCUCCCUUGUGCUGGUCCAGCUGUUUGUCAUUCCACGUGGCACAGGGGAUUGGAAAAACCGGUAAGGAGAAGCAACGCAGCCAAAAGGGAAGAGCCCCGCAGCCUGAGUCAGCAUCUGUGGUGUUAAACGUUGCAAUGAUGCUCUUAGUAAUUAAUUCACGGGGAGGAUUUGUAAGGUGAAAACCCCUGCGGCUUAAUGAGCUGUCAUCUGAGGCUCUGUCACUGCAGCCAGAUCCUCGCAUAUAUUGGAAGGAUGAUUGAUUUAUUUUUAAUUUUUUUCAGGCACUGGCCUGGGCUUUGGGAGACCGAAGUCCUGGUCCUGCCCCUGCCGCAGAUUGCUGGGGUCAUCUCAAGUGAUUUGCUUCAUUUGCAUCCGUCUUGGAGGAAAAAGUGCACUUUCUGAGGCUCUGUGCUCUUUCUCACAAUUUGGCAAUCUCCUGGGCUCUCGGAGGCAGGGUUGUCCAGCUGGGCCGUAUCAGGGAGGCCUUGGAUCGCAGCUGAACCUGGAGGACGGGGCGGUUUCAGGGCCAGCUUGCUGCAGGCUCCGUCUAGUUUGCGUUCAUGCCAGUUUAACGCUCCAGAUGGUUGUCUCGGUGCUGGAGGAGAAAAUGACCCUGAUGAGUGGCACGUCCUCUGGGGAUGUAACUGCCCUCAGCCGGCUCCACCUGAGGUUUCUUAUUAGCCAGCUGUGGCAGUGAGAAGAGAGGAGGAAGAAACAUUGAUGAUGCUUGUGAACAUCUGAGUAUUUCACAGUAUACCAUGUUCUGAGCACUCAGUGUUUGAAGGCUGCGAUGUUCGACAAGUUUCCCUCUCUUGGUCAGGUGGAGGUGAUCUUCCGCCCUUCUUGUUCCAGAGUGUCCACCUUGGUCAGAGCCGUGGUUAUGGCUUACUCUUCCACCAUAGUGGUCAAUGCUUUCUUCUGCCAUGCUGCUGAGCCCAACUGCUUCUAACCACAAGAGCGCUGGAGGUGGGAUCUUCUCUGUGGGCCAAUACCGUGUGUUCCUGCUAAUUACAGAGGCUAUUUUGCACCAAUUAGUGCAAUAGUCAAGAGAGACCAUGUCUACAGGGGGGCUGUGAUGUCAUCCUUGCACUCAGAUGACAUCACUAGCUCUGCUGCUGUAAGAGAGUGGAUGCCCUUGUCACUGUCACAGCCAUCCAGGAAAGGAUCGGAGUGAUGCAGAACCUUUCCUGCUCAAUAAAUGUAGUUUGUAAUUAUAAAGGAGUGUAUUCAUUGCCCUAUUCAUCUGACAGCUGUGUGUUUACUGGGUAAAAGCAUUCAUUAAGAACCUCUGUAAUCCAUCAGUGCUCCAAGGAGAGCAAACCACCAGGUGGACCAUGGUGGACCACUCCUUUUGGAUCAGAC
Molecule: long non-coding RNA, 2572 nt
Organism: Chroicocephalus ridibundus (black-headed gull)
Lineage: Eukaryota; Metazoa; Chordata; Aves; Charadriiformes; Laridae
Exons: 3
Source: RefSeq, a predicted model, not a curated record